This 342-nucleotide unclassified non-coding RNA is filed under the name uncultured bacterium. RNAcentral describes it as "contains 16S-23S intergenic spacer region". The stretch from base 1 to 125 matches the Rfam family "5.8S ribosomal RNA", at positions 30 to 154 of the family's 154-position model. The record is from RNAcentral.
GCAUCGAUGAAGAACGCAGCGAAAUGCGAUAAGUAAUGUGAAUUGCAGAAUUCAGUGAAUCAUCGAAUCUUUGAACGCACAUUGCGCCCGCCAGUAUUCUGGCGGGCAUGCCUGUUCGAGCGUCAUUUCAACCAUCAAGCCCCCGGCUUGUGUUGGGGACCUGCGGCUGCCGCAGGCCCUGAAAAGCAGUGGCGGGCUCGCUGUCACACCGAGCGUAGUAGCAUACAUCUCGCUCUGGGCGUGCUGCGGGUUCCGGCCGUAAAACCACCUUCAUAACCCAAGGUUGACCUCGGAUCAGGUAGGAAGACCCGCUGAACUUAAGCAUAUCAAUAAGCGGAGGAU